RNAcentral lists this ribosomal RNA (253 nucleotides) under uncultured bacterium. Its description in RNAcentral is "partial 16S ribosomal RNA". It matches the Rfam family "Bacterial small subunit ribosomal RNA", at positions 524 to 776 of the family's 1533-position model. The record is from RNAcentral.
UACGUAGGUGGCGAGCGUUGUCCGGAUUUAUUGGGUUUAAAGGGUGCGUAGGCGGCUUUGUAAGUCAGUGGUGAAAUACUCCAGCUUAACUGGAGGGGUGCCAUUGAUACUGCGGAGCUUGAGUACAGAUGAGGUAGGCGGAAUUGACGGUGUAGCGGUGAAAUGCAUAGAUAUCGUCAAGAACACCGAUAGUGAAGACAGCUAACUAAGCUCUAACUGACGCUGAGGCACGAAAGUGUGGGGAUCAAACAGG